This 73-nucleotide transfer RNA is filed under the name Felis catus (domestic cat). It matches the Rfam family "tRNA". From Rfam's summary of the family: Transfer RNA (tRNA) molecules are approximately 80 nucleotides in length. Their secondary structure includes four short double-helical elements and three loops (D, anti-codon, and T loops). Lineage: Eukaryota; Metazoa; Chordata; Mammalia; Carnivora; Felidae. RNAcentral also lists the same sequence under 4 other names. The record is from Rfam by way of RNAcentral.
ACCUGGCUGGCUCAGUUGGAAGAGCAUGUGACUCCUGAUCUUGGGGUUGUAAGUUCGAGCCCCAUGUUGGGUG